CAAUAGCGUAUAUUAAAGUUGUUGCAGUUAAAAAGCUCGUAGUUGGAUUUCUGGUGGGAGCGAUCGGUCUGGCGCUUAGCGCGAGUACUUGCAUCGUCUCCGGCCAUCCUUGGGGAGAGUCUGUCUGGCAUUAGGUUGUCGGGCAGAGGAUCCUCAUCGUUUACUGUGAAAAAAUUAGAGUGUUCAAAGCAGGCUUAUGCCGUUGAAUAUAUUAGCAUGGAAUAAUAAGAUAGGACUUUGGUACUAUUUUGUUGGUUUGCGCACCAAAGUAAUGAUUAAUAGGGACAGUUGGGGGUAUUCGUAUUCCGUUGUCAGAGGUGAAAUUCUUGGAUUUACGGAAGACGAACUACUGCGAAAGCAUUUACCAAGGAUGUUUUUAUUAA
This 383-nucleotide ribosomal RNA is filed under the name uncultured eukaryote. Its description in RNAcentral is "partial 18S ribosomal RNA". It matches the Rfam family "Eukaryotic small subunit ribosomal RNA", at positions 592 to 976 of the family's 1831-position model. The record is from RNAcentral.